CAGUUGCGCGUUGAGCACAUAGCGAACUAUUCUUUCGCCUUUUACUAAAUAUUACCGUGUGAUCCUCGUUUGAAAAUGGCAUACACUACUUUUGGAGGGGUGUCUUCUUGCUAGGAGACC
Small nuclear RNA from Salvia splendens (bonfire salvia), 120 nucleotides. RefSeq annotates it as U5 spliceosomal RNA. The transcript has a single exon. The record is from RefSeq and is a predicted model, not a curated record. NCBI's taxonomy places the organism in Eukaryota, Viridiplantae, Streptophyta, Magnoliopsida, Lamiales, Lamiaceae.